GGACUAGAAGCUUUAGAGUUUUUCCAUUACGGGGAAAGGGUUGUUGGUCUU
This 51-nucleotide transfer RNA is filed under the name Demodex folliculorum. RNAcentral's name for it is "tRNA-Val". Lineage: Eukaryota; Metazoa; Arthropoda; Arachnida; Trombidiformes; Demodicidae. The record is from RNAcentral.